Molecule: ribosomal RNA, 466 nt
Filed under: uncultured bacterium
Lineage: Bacteria
Description: partial 16S ribosomal RNA
Rfam family: Bacterial small subunit ribosomal RNA
Source: RNAcentral
AGCGAACGCUGGCGGCAGGCCUAACACAUGCAAGUCGAACGAUGAAGCCCAGCUUGCUGGGUGGAUUAGUGGCGAACGGGUGAGUAACACGUGAGUAACCUGCCCUUAACUCUGGGAUAAGCCUGGGAAACUGGGUCUAAUACCGGAUAGGAGCGCCUACCGCAUGGUGGGUGUUGGAAAGAUUUAUCGGUUUUGGAUGGACUCGCGGCCUAUCAGCUUGUUGGUGAGGUAAUGGCUCACCAAGGCGACGACGGGUAGCCGGCCUGAGAGGGUGACCGGCCACACUGGGACUGAGACACGGCCCAGACUCCUACGGGAGGCAGCAGUGGGGAAUAUUGCACAAUGGGCGAAAGCCUGAUGCAGCGACGCCGCGUGAGGGAUGACGGCCUUCGGGUUGUAAACCUCUUUCAGUAGGGAAGAAGCGAAAGUGACGGUACCUGCAGAAGAAGCACCGGCUAACUACGUG